AGCGAACGCUGGCGGCAGGCCUAACACAUGCAAGUCGAACGAACCUUUCGGGGUUAGUGGCGGACGGGUGAGUAACACGUGGGAACGUGCCUUUAGGUUCGGAAUAACUCAGGGAAACUUUUGCUAAUACCGAAUGUUCCCUUCGGGGGAAAGAUUUAUCGCCUUUAGAUCGGCCCGCGUCUGAUUAGCUAGUUGGUUGAGGUAAUGGCUCACCAAGGCGACGAUCAGUAGCUGGUCUGAGAGGAUGAUCAGCCACAUUGGGACUGAGACACGGCCCAAACUCCUACGGGAGGCAGCAGUGGGGAAUCUUGCGCAAUGGGCGAAAGCCUGACGCAGCCAUGCCGCGUGAAUGAUGAAGGUCUUAGGAUUGUAAAAUUCUUUCACCGGGGACGAUAAUGACGGUACCCGGAGAAGAAGCCCCGGCUAACUUCGUG
RNAcentral lists this ribosomal RNA (434 nucleotides) under uncultured bacterium. Its description in RNAcentral is "partial 16S ribosomal RNA". It matches the Rfam family "Bacterial small subunit ribosomal RNA", at positions 29 to 507 of the family's 1533-position model. The record is from RNAcentral.